UACGUAGGGUGCGAGCGUUAAUCGGAAUUACUGGGCGUAAAGCGUGCGUAGGCGGUUGCUGAAGUCCGUUGUGAAAGCCCCGGGCUUAACCUGGGAAUGGCAGUGGAAACUAGGCGACUUGAAUCUGGCAGAGGGGGGUGGAAUGCCACGUGUAGCAGUGAAAUGCGUAGAGAUGUGGCGGAACACCGAUGGCGAAGGCAGCCCCCUGGGUUGAGAUUGACGCUCAGGCACGAAAGCGUGGGGAGCAAACAGG
This 253-nucleotide ribosomal RNA is filed under the name uncultured bacterium. RNAcentral's name for it is "partial 16S ribosomal RNA". It matches the Rfam family "Bacterial small subunit ribosomal RNA", at positions 524 to 776 of the family's 1533-position model. The record is from RNAcentral.